This 619-nucleotide ribosomal RNA is filed under the name uncultured bacterium. RNAcentral's name for it is "bacterial SSU rRNA". It matches the Rfam family "Bacterial small subunit ribosomal RNA", at positions 9 to 663 of the family's 1533-position model. The record is from RNAcentral.
GAGUUUGAUCCUGGCUCAGAACGAACGCUGGCGGCAGGCCUAACACGAUGCAAGUCGAACGAAGUCUUCGGACUUAGUGGCAGGCGGGUGAGUAACGCGUGGGAACCUACCUGGAGGUUCGGAAUAACUCGGGGAAACUCGGGCUAAUACCGGAUACGCCCUUACGGGGAAAGAUUUAUCGCCUUUAGAUGGGCCCGCGUUGGAUUAGCUUGUUGGUGAGGUAAAAGCUCACCAAGGCGACGAUCCAUAGCUGGUCUGAGAGGAUGAUCAGCCACACUGGGACUGAGACACGGCCCAGACUCCUACGGGAGGCAGCAGUGAGGAAUAUUCGGCAAUGGGCGCAAGCCUGACCGAGCCAUGCCGCGUGAGUGAAAGAAGGCCCUAGGGUUGUAAAGCUCUUUCACCGAUGAAGAUAAUGACGGUAGUCGGAGAAGAAGCCCCGGCUAACUUCGUGCCAGCAGCCGCGGUAAAUACGAAGGGGGCUAGCGUUGUUCGGAAUUACUGGGCGUAAGCGGCAGUAGGGCGGGAUUGGUUAGUCAGGGGUUGGAAACUCCCCGGGGCUCAACCCCGGGAAACUGCCUCUGAUACUGGGCAAUCUCGAGUUCGAGAGAGGUGAGUG